This 1015-nucleotide small RNA is filed under the name Rattus norvegicus (Norway rat). RNAcentral's name for it is "uncharacterized LOC102557426". The record is from RNAcentral. Lineage: Eukaryota; Metazoa; Chordata; Mammalia; Rodentia; Muridae.
UUACAAGUUUCUAGAACUUUGAUUUUUACCAGGCUACUGGGGACGUGAGCAAAGUUCCUGGUGGGCAGAACGACAGCCUGGCAAGGGUGGCUAUAGAACGCCUGGGGUUAGCGUGGCGUGGUGCCACAGUAGAGCGGUCUGCAGAAUGUGAUGUGUGUCAGGUGUGGUAACAGCCCACCAAGAGGACCAUGUGAGAAAGCAGCUGGCAGAGAGACAGACAGCGCACGGCUCCCGAGAAUCCACACAGAGUGGGAACACGCAGGUACCCACCGGUCAUUUUUUGAUUUUUUUACCCCAACAUGAACAUCAGUCACAGGAAUGGCAAAAUGCAUACUCAGCUCAACUGCUGACGAAGCAGGCCCCACACCGCUUAAUAAAAGUCUACCUGAAGAAGAGCGUUCUUGCAGGAUAUGUGAUCACACUUCAAACCCCAAGGUUGUGUUAUUUACUAAAAAAAUACCUGUUCCUAGUUGUGGUGUGACUUACCCUUAGUGCACACCUAUGGAGAAAUCCUGAGGAUUAAGGUUGCAGUCUGCCAUUGUCAGGACGUCUCUCUUGAGCUCGGUACAAAAUGGAGGAUUCCUUUUAACGGUAGGGCUUCUCCUUCUCUGACCUUGUCUAGGCAUCUUGAAACCCCCACACCAUCUUCCUGAGGAAUGUCACAUGGCAUUGUCUGUGGUAGAAAGGGCACAGAAUCAGCAUCGGAGGAAAGAGUGUCAGAUGCACGUUCUAUGGAGGAAAAGUCAGAGAUAAAGUCUGAUCUGCUCAUCAGAGGACCCAACCAAGAGCGGACAUGGUGAGCUGAAUAGAAAUUCUCCAAAAAGCAUGUUGGAAAAAAAAAAAAGCCAGUAAGAACCUACAGCGAGCAUCUAAGCAAAGCCUUCCACAUCCCUGGGACAUCUCAAGGGUGACAUUCCCAACUGAAAUUAUUUCCUUUAAGCCAGUGGACCCCCCCCAUUCAUAUUUCCUAUGGAGAAGAUGACACUAUCCAGCGUUAAAGUCUCUUUGGAGUCUU